Molecule: long non-coding RNA, 896 nt
Organism: Lutra lutra (Eurasian river otter)
Lineage: Eukaryota; Metazoa; Chordata; Mammalia; Carnivora; Mustelidae
Exons: 3
Source: RefSeq, a predicted model, not a curated record
GGGAGGGCGUUUAGGCAUCGACCCCGUAGGAAGCCAGGUAGACGGGGGUUUGCUGCAGAGACUCCGAGGACUUGUGUGGGGCUAACGUGUGUACGUCCGAGCUGGAAGAGCAGCCUCUCGGGACGGAAGAGUCAGACUGAGGAUGAGGUCACCAACACCGCGCUGAGAUCUGGAGCACCGGAGCAGGGUCCCAGACCCGUUCUCCUGACUCGGGCUCGGCAGGAUGAGCUGCGGGAGUUUUCGCCUUCAGAAUCCCCGGAGUACAGACCUAGCCAAGGCAGAAGAUGGAAGUGGAGACCAGGUACCAAGAGUCCACUCUCCUCAGGCCGGCUGGAUUUGAUGGGACAAUCCAGGACCUUGGGAGCAAACAGCCCACGAAAGGACAGUCACCCCAAUGGUUACCUUUGUAUGUGUAAAGGUAGGUAUGUUUUCGCAAAGCAUUUGCAACUUGAUUUGUGAUGACCUUGGCUUCCCUGAAAUUUUUUCAUGGGUUUUUCCUUUUCGGUUUUUUUGUUUGUUUUUGUUUUUGUAUUAAAGGUUUCCUUGUGUCAAAUAUGUGUUAUCAUGGUGAACACAGUCUCAAGCAUACCCUACAGCUAUGAAAGCUAGAGCUGUUUAUAAAGUACGAGAACCUGCCUCAUGUUGUGUUAACUAAAGUUAAUUACUUAAUUAUGAAUAAUGAUUUAAUUGUGUUACAAGUGAGUUAUGGCAUUUUAGUAUAAAUGAGCUAAUUCAGGGACCAAGGAAUGCAUGAAACAUUUUCCACUAGACUUAAUGAUAUUUAGAAUUUAUUAUCCAGGACCAUAAAAUCAUACAAAUACACACAAACACACGUAUACUUAGAUCUUUAUUUUAAAAAUGUGUACACACACAAACGCUCUCUCCCCUUUUCCUCU